This 2212-nucleotide long non-coding RNA is filed under the name Phoenix dactylifera (date palm). RNAcentral's name for it is "long non-coding RNA (PDAC_LNC005157)". The record is from RNAcentral. Lineage: Eukaryota; Viridiplantae; Streptophyta; Magnoliopsida; Arecales; Arecaceae.
GGCUCUCUCUUGAUCUAAAAUUUCGUGGUUCUUAUUCUUCAUUUUGGUUACCAAUCCGAUCUUUCUUUCUUGAUGGGUUUUCUUAAACCAUCGUAAAUCUUGAAUAGAGUUUGAUGCUGAUCAUUGCAAAGAACUACAAAUGAUGUUUAUGUAACAGGGAAUGAAGAAUCGCAAUUUACGUGACCUGUAUCCACCGUGCUACUAUCAUUGUUUCGAAAAAUUAGAUUAUGAUUAACAAAUCCAGUCGAUUUUUUGUCCUUAAGUUUUGUGAUGGUUAGCUUAAACGUUUACGGGAUGUCCCUUUUUUGCCCCCCUUUCUUGUGAAUGUAAUGGAGGGCCGAAGUCUCUAUUAGAGGAAAAAGGAGAAAAAAUUUACAGGUUCCCUGUAAAGUAGGGAGAAAAGAAGAGGAAAAUGGGAUGUCGGAUGAUUAAAAAUGUGGGAUUUUUUAGUUCAUUUUAGUUCAAAAAUUUUAAAAAAAUGACAUUUUUGGUGGAUGAGUUUAUUGGUAAUAUAGGCAGUAGUUUGGAGGGUGAUAGGCUGUUGAGGGUCACGGAUUUAGAAUUUCAACAGAGAUGAACAGGGUGUUGUCUCAGAUAGAUGAUGUUAUAGUCUUUUUAUCACCUGAUCAAAAUCUAAUUUUUGAUCGCAAUGAGAUGGAACAGAGGAUUUUUUAUUUUUUAUUUGCUGUAAUUUUGCUAUAGGAGCAUCCGACAAGAGACAAAAAUGGCAGAAUUAUGGAGCCUUGUAAGUUACCUCUCAAGCAAUUGAACUUGGAAAAAAGAAACUUGGGUCUCAGCAUCAACCAGCAUGCCUAUUUUGCUACAAUAGGAGCAUCCUACAAGAGACAAAAAUAGCAAAAUAGUGAAGCCUGAUAAGUUACCUCUCAAGCAAUUGAACUGGGAAAAUUGAAAAAUGAAACUUGGGUCUGAGCAUAACCCAACAUGCCUUAUUGAAAACGUGUGGAGUUGGGCUUACUUUCUUUCAACAUCCAUUCCUAGUAACUGUCUACAACCUUCUUCCAACAAAAAAAGGAAAUCAUCACUUCCAUCCAUUUUUUUUAGGUACCAUCCUUUGUGUUUUUGACCAUUAAAUUCUAAUAACUAUUUAUUGUGAUCUCUUUGAAUUCUCUUCUGGGUAUAUGCGUAGCUCUGCCUCCAUUAUCCUUGAACUAUACUGGUACAACUAAUGAUUCAUAUAAUAUUCUAGCUUCCACCAUACUUAUUCCUAGUUUUUUACACAUCCAUCAUUCUCAUCAUACGUAUUAUCUGUCUAGACUUAGUCCUAGUUUUUAACACAUCCAUCAUUCUCAUCUUGUGUAUUAUCUGCCUAGACCUUAUUUAGUGCUCCAAAUUUUUGUUGGUAGUACUAGCCACAUCAUUGCAUCAUUAUGUUAUCCUUUAGUCUGUACAAAGAUAAGACAAAAGUAUACCUCCUUUCUCAUGUAUAAUAGAUCAAACAUAAAGGAAGUUAUCACAAAGGAGCACUUCUUGGUCCUUUAUGCUCACCAAGACUAUAUUUGACUUUAAUAUCCACUUCGUGCACAAGCAAAUGACCUCCCAAAUAUAUGAUUUAGGUUUCUAGGUAUUUUGAUAACAUAGAUUAUGACCAAUAGUGUGAAUUUUCCAUCCAGAAUGUCCAUCUCUGAUUUUGAAUUGAUAGAUUUUGUUUCAAUCCUUCUGGAAAGAAUGUCCAUCUCACUCUCACUCUAGCAUAUAUCUAUGUACAUAUAGUUGUGCAACCAUGUUGUAAUAACUGGUCACGUAAAACCUAUUACACCACUUCCAAUGGAUCCAAAAGCUAAUAGUUAGGGCCUGUUAGCAUGAAGCCACAAACACAUCAACUUAGUAACUAUUCUUAAAUGAAGUAAUUAAUAAUGCUUUGACAAUUCAUCUUCGAGCUUUAUUUUUCAAAAAUAUUAUACAUAUUGCUGUAGAAGGAUUAAAGUCUUUCAUUGUGGUGGUGCGCCAGCCUGGCAUUGGCAUGAUAAAAUUUUUACUAUGCCUUGCCAUGUGCCAUCUCAAUACUGGCACGGUUUGGAUGGCAGCAUGCCAAGUAGUGUGCAUGCCCCAUAUCAUGCCAAUGCAGCAUUGAGGUAAGGGACUGAACAAUAGCAAAUUGCAUAUUGUUCAGUGUUGUGCUUUGCUGGUUGGCACUUAAAUUAUGAAUGUUGUUGUCUCUGAUAACCUUUUCUCUGCUCUUGUGUUUUCAGGA